GAUGAAGAACGUAGCGAAAUGCGAUAAGUAAUGUGAAUUGCAGAAUUCAGUGAAUCAUCGAAUCUUUGAACGCACAUUGCGCCCCUUGGUAUUCCGAGGGGCAUGCCUGUUCGAGCGUCAUUAUAACCCCUCAAGCUCAGCUUGGUGUUGGGGCCUGCUGCACUGGCAGCCCUUAAAAUCAGUGGCGGCGCCAUCUGCCUCUAAGCGUAGUAAUUCUUCUCGCUAUGGAGUCCUGGUGGAUGCUUGCCAUCAACCCCCAAUUUUUCUAUGGUUGACCUCGGAUCAGGUAGGGAUACCCGCUGAACUUAAGCAUAUCAAUAAGCGGAGGA
This 329-nucleotide unclassified non-coding RNA is filed under the name soil metagenome. RNAcentral describes it as "partial contains 5.8S ribosomal RNA, internal transcribed spacer 2, and large subunit ribosomal RNA". The stretch from base 1 to 120 matches the Rfam family "5.8S ribosomal RNA", at positions 35 to 154 of the family's 154-position model. The record is from RNAcentral.